This 253-nucleotide ribosomal RNA is filed under the name uncultured bacterium. RNAcentral describes it as "partial 16S ribosomal RNA". It matches the Rfam family "Bacterial small subunit ribosomal RNA", at positions 524 to 776 of the family's 1533-position model. The record is from RNAcentral.
UACGUAGGUGGCAAGCGUUAUCCGGAAUUAUUGGGCGUAAAGCGCGCGCAGGCGGUUUCUUAAGUCUGAUGUGAAAGCCCACGGCUCAACCGUGGAGGGUCAUUGGAAACUGGGGAACUUGGGUGCAGAAGAGAAAAGCGGAAUUCCACGUGUAGCGGUGAAAUGCGUAGAGAUGUGGAGGAACACCAGUGGCGAAGGCGGCUUUUUGGUCUGUAACUGACGCUGAGACGCGAAAGCGUGGGGAGCAAACAGG